Molecule: long non-coding RNA, 8792 nt
Filed under: Xyrichtys novacula (pearly razorfish)
Lineage: Eukaryota; Metazoa; Chordata; Actinopteri; Labriformes; Labridae
Source: RNAcentral
CAGCUCAUAUUGCUUAGUUCUGGUGUUUUAUCAUGUUGGACCAAUUUAUACCUACAAAUGUUUUUUCUUCCUUUGGGUUGUUCAGCUGUUGGGUCUUUGCUUGUUAUAGUGAUUUUUAAAGUUGCUAAAUAUAUAUAAAACUAUCAUGAUAAUUAUUUUUACUAUUACAGAAAGUAAAAAAAAUGAUGAUAAUGAUAAUUGUACAUAGUUGAAGUUUUGUUAAAAUAACUACUUGUUUUUUUAGAUUUUUCACAUUUUUGACCCAAUGUCCUUUGGUUAGAUUAAAGCCAGCAUGGUACAAUCUAUUAUAACUUUUAUAUAUCCGUUAAAAAGUGCACAAAUACACUGAUAAUUAACUUCCUUGGUGUAUUUGUUGAAUGACAGGAUUGGGAUCUAAGAAUCAGGGUUUUUGAAUGUCUCACCAUCGGGCAAAAUCAUCCAAAUUUGAGGACCUCAAGCUAUUUUUGCUAUUGUGUUUUUUACAGUUGUACAUUUAUGAUAGUUUUAGUUUGGCUUUGGAUUUUAGAAUAACCUAAUUGACCAGCAGUAAGACAGAUGAAUAAGAAAAUCAAACUGGGAUAUAAUAGAAAGGUGAUUAAUAGCACAGAGGCCUGCAACAUCAUCAAUUAUGCAACCUAUUAAUCACUGAAAGCAUUACGGCGGCUGAAAAGGAGGGUGAAUCUCAAUGCUGAAACUUGAAUUAGACUUGAUUUUGCUUCACAGCACAUUAAAAGCACAACUGUCGUGAAAGAGAAGAGUUGUAGUCUUUGCAUAAUUUGCUGCACCUGCUGCGAUUUGAUCACCUGAAAUGGGAAUCCAAAUGUGCCCCCAGUAACAAACAGUCACAUUACCUCGCAGCUGAAUGUGCUUUGUGUGGGAUUCUUUGUGCACACCUUCUAUGUGCAUGCUUUAAGUGUCAUAUUUUUUAUUUUUCCAAGGCUAUGAAGUCGUUUAUCAAACCCAGGACCCCAUACAUAUGGAUGAAUGGAGAGAGAGGGGGAUAUAUGGUGUCUAUUUGAUUAAGGAGACCUUUGACAGAGGAGCCUGUACCAGAGAAUGACAGCUGAAGCUCUGUGGGUUUACACCGCAUAAAGCUCAUCCUCGGGGACCAAUGUCUAGUUGGAAUUAUAAGCAGUGUGGAGCUCAUACAGCCGCUGGAGAGAACUGAUGAGAUGGGAGCUUUUUUCAGGUCACUCACAUAUUCAAGUGUAGGGGGAUGCAGAUUGGGCAGUUCUUGUUUGUGGUGAAUACCAAACAGAAGCUCAAAACCUAUUCCCUUCAACUGAUCAGCAGAAAGAUGCAUAAAUAAGUCUGGCAACCAGCGAGGUGCUUUGCAAAGUAAGACAAAAGGGGAUCCACGCGGCUUGAAUCCAACCUCAAAGUACACACUUGGAGCUACCAUUACAGAUAAAUCAAACUAAAACCCCUCUGCUAUCCUAAUGCACAAGCAAUUAGAAGUGUGCUGUUUUCCAAAACAAAUGCUUACUGCAUCAGCUGAAACACUAAACAGACAUAAUUGGUGGAGGUAUUUUUGGAGACGGCAAUUACUCGCGUUAUUAAAAAAAUAAUAAUAGUUUUAAUGAGCUCGGCUAUUGGAUGGAAAUGAAACUGAAAGAGAAAACAUUACCGAUUUGUCGAGCAGCCAUUUAUCUGUAAGGACCGUUAGUAUCCAAGACAAUCAUUAGACCUUAUGGUUGAAUACAUGCAGUUCUGUUUAGUAAACCUCUGGCAUGGCUGUAUAACACAUAAGGGUUAGGGGUGGGAAUCUUCAGGCACAUCACGAUUCGAUUACGAAUACGAUUACGAUUCAGGGGCUACGAUUCGAUUCUGAAACGAUUAUCCCCCCCCCCAGCUAUUACACAUUUCUUUUUGUCUCACUGUGUAACCAUUCACCACUUUGUGUUUUUAAAAUAUUAAUAAUGAGAAACAAUUAAAUGAAUUAAUUUCCACUAUCUUUUAUUAUACUUGUGGAAAUGUGUAAACAGGAAAGUUACAACUUCAUGUAAAGAACAAAAGGUAGCAGCAUCCUUGGCUUUUAGCAUAUCCUGAAUCACAUUAUGUGAAAUGUGAAAAUAUGUCCUUAUUAAGAAAUGUAAGAAAAUAUGAACUUAAUCUUUAAUUUAUGUGCAUAUAGCACUCAAACAAAUAAAUACAUUUUUUCAUUUUUUAGAAAAUAAAUAACAGAAUUCUGUUAUCUGUCGGGAUGGCCGUGUCAGUGAAGUAGCGUCGGGAUGGAAUGUUGUAUCUCGGCUCCACCGUGUGCAGUAGUGCUCGGAAGCCCUGGUUCUCCACUACUGAAUACAGACGUAAAUCCUUGGCAAUAAAUGUAGCGAUGGACUUCGUGAUUCGUUUCGCCUUUUCCGAUGAGGGGGGAAGCUUUGUAAUUGCUUGCUCGAUUGUUCUCUGUUUGGUGGAGGCAGCCGUAGCCUCGACAGCAGCCGGGCAUCUUCCCUCCUCGUUCGGGUGAAAACGAGUGAUGUGGCUCCUCAUGUUCGUGGUGUUACCAAAGUAUUUUAUCUUGGAGUGACACAGUUUACAUAUAGUGUGGCUCUUGUCCAGUUCAAGUCCACCCUCAACUCUGUAGAAGCCAAAAUUCUUCCAUACAUUGGCUUUUAAUCCGGAAGGGGCAGGGUGGAUCUCGCGCUCAGCCAUGCUUCUUUGUUAUGUGCUCCCCUUAAAGUGUCCGGCGGGUGACAACGCGCUGCACGAGUUCCGCCUUUUCGUUCCGCCUAUUUCACGUUAUUUAACAUCUAAAUAAUCGGAAUUUGGACGUUUGUGAAUCGAUUCAGAAUCGUCCUUGCCUGAAUCGAGAUGCAUCUAAGAAUCGAUAUUUUCCCCCACCACUAAUAAGGGUGUAUGUAAAGUGCAGGUAAAGCAGCUUGAGACAACCUGUAAAGGUUUUGUGGGAUCAGCAGACCAUUGGAGGCUCUGGCCCAGAACUGAGAGUAAAAUAAAAAAGGUUGGGUUUAGGCACAGGAUUUGAGCAUCAACUCAGCCUUGUUUCCAGAGAGUUCCUCUAUGCCUACAUAUCCCCACUGGACGUGUCUUCUGCUCUUGAAAUUGAUCAUUAGAGGACUUUUUAACAACAUAAUGGCGAGGCUUUACACGAUACCAUUAAUUAACCUGCUUGAUAAACCCCAAACGUGGUCAGGUCGGGAACACGUUUCUGGCUGGACUUCCUCGCAGACAGGCAGGGCAGGAACGUCGGUAAAGGCGUGUAUACACCAUUCACAAAUUCAUACACUGAUGACAGAGGGUGCCAUGUUUGUAAAGUGACCAUCUGUUUCAAUUAAUCCCAUUGACACGCUUCCGGCUAUGCCACAGAAAGCAAUGAGGGUACAAUGUCAGGUACACUAUGGUGUCAUCAAACCAUCAUUCUAUCUCAAACAGACCAUCCCAACUCUACGACAGAUACUGGUUAACUUGUCCUACUUUAUGGCGCCUCUGUCUCUCCACCUUUCAGCCCUUGGCAUUGUAGCAGUGCCUGACAGCUGGCCUCAGUCAUGCGAGGUACCCUCACUUUAGAAAUAAGUGAUGUCUCCUUUUGUAACAUGUAUUGAGAAUUACUCAACUGAAUAUCAGACAAUGUGUUGCUACUUUGUGAUAUAGUUUAAUCAAAUAAAAAAAAGGUUCAGCCCAGUGUUGGCGCAGAUUCUACUGGAGAGCUUGUUUCUUUGGGGUUUUUCCACCUCUGCAUUAGUCUGCAUUUGUCUGCACUCUUCCCUCCUUAGACAACACUCAGACAAAAUGCACAGCCCAUAAUUAUCUUUACAUUCCCAUCCACUUAGAUCUGCCAGUUUAUGACGGGAAAGUAUUUGAUCUGCUCCUAGUGCAGAUUCAUCUGAAGUACUUGUUGUGUUUGUUUUGGUGUUUUUCCGCCUCUGCAUCUGUCUGUACUGCUCUGCGCCCUCCCCCCCUCAAAAAACAUUGCAGCAGCGCCUCAUCCCCUCCCACUAAUAAUAAUAAUGAAUUAAUAAUAAGAGUAAGAACAAUGCAAUGCUAAAUAUUUUAUAUGUUCUGCUUCUGAAUUCAAAACCUGCAGUUAAAAAUCAACUCAGAGAUGUAAUAAACAGCCAAAAUGAUCAAAUAUGGGACUAAUGUGGUUUUGUCAGUUUUGGUUUCGAGAAAUGAAUGAAUCUCUAUUUUCUUCCUCUGAGUUUGCUGAGAUUUAAAUUUCCCUUUAUGCAUUUAUUGUGUUUAGAGGGUCAAGUUGGACACUACGUGACUGAAUAUGUAUGUUUUAACAUUAUUUAUUAAAUGGAUGCAAACACCUUUAUAUUCCCUGACUUUCCUGUGCAUCUGGGAGGUAAAGUUAUCCACUGCAGUAACAGCCAACACUAUGAAGAACUUUAUAUUAAAUAAGAAAUGAUUUUCUGGUGCUUUUUCAACAAGCUCAGCACAGUAGUUUUCCUUACUUUAAGAUUCCCUGUGUUCUGCAUCCUUCUUUUUUUUGUUAAAAAGAACAAGACAAUGCCUUGAAAUCCUUGUGAGCAGAGAGUUCCAGGUUGUGAAUGAAAAAGCGCCAGAAACAAAAAAAAAAAAAACAGCUUCUGUCACCCUGCUCAUCUUGGCAUGGAGACACCAGAGAGAAGAACAAAGCCAGCAUCCCCUCCUUACACACACAUAAUUUAGCCUGGCGUGUUAUGAAUCUAUUACAAAUCCUUUUAUAGCAUGCUCGAGAAGAAUAGCCUUACGUGAUAAUGCGCUGAAAGGCUAUCGCGCCACAGCAGAUGCCCAGCUUCGCUCUGGUGUUGCGUCCCUUGACGAGUCUUCCACCAGCUGGGUUCAUUGACAUCAACAGUCUGGGGACAGCCAUGGAAUCGGAGCUGUUUAGCUGCUUCGCUGGCCUCCCCGUGGCCCUGCUUUAAGGGCAUCCAGGGGCCCUCCAUCUGCAAGGUUAAGACAAUGCAGAGAGCUUUCAGGGAAGGGCAAAUAAAUGUGACAGUAAACAUGAACAAAGGAAGAUGCAAUCAAAGAGCUACUGUGGCUGUGGAUUACCUUUGAAAGCGCAUGUGAUCACUACAAGUGAAAGUGUGCAUGCAUGUUUACUCAGGGAGCAGUCUGAGACACUAAAGGAGAGAAUAAUUUCUAACACAAUGGAAAGCAACAACACACUGGUAUUCCACUACAGCUUUUCUCAUUCCCUCAGAGCACCUAUUUACCUAUAAAGUAAAGCUCUGUAAUUUAUGUACAGCCCACAUAAUUGUGGGCCGAUUUUCACACAUCGGUGGCAAUUCUAGACACCUGGAGAAACCACUUUGUCCAGCAUGUGAAAUGUCAAGUGAUGAAAUAGAAAGUCUGAAAUAGUCAGCUUGGAAUGAUGGCUGAGACCACUGUGUAAGUUACACAAAGCUGGGCUAUUAUCAGGUGAACCCUUCAUUGCAAAGAAAGAAGAAAUCGAAUGCGGAAAUAUCAAUCAAAACAAUGGAAACGGGUUGGAUAUUGAAUGGAUAGCAAAUGGGUAAAUGUGCAUAACUCAUCAAACAAACUGUCCUGUUGGGAUAUUUCAGUGAGUUGUGUGUUUCCCCAUUAUAAAGUGCUAUUAUUUCUACAUUGCGCAGUCAAAUAAAUGACUGUGUUUAAAUUUGGAGGUUGCAGCCAUAUAUCUCAUUGCAGAAACUUCCCUAAAAGCAAAUACGGCUCUGAUUUAAAAGAGAUAAAAUACCAGACACCUGACCAUUAAUACAAUAAAAACGUAAACACGCUGUAUGUAAAGGUAACUACAGUUUUAUUUUUAUUAAAGUAGUUUUAAAAAAUACAGAGUACCCAUGACAUAGCAAGAAAAAGCCAUAUACAAUAAUCUACCCAUUGUUUAUAUUCAUCCACUAAAUCUUCAUCCGCAGGUACAGAUGUUUUUACUCUGUGAGUAACAUGUACAGUAAAUGCUACAUAUGCAUUCGUGUUAAAGUGACGUGUGACAAAUUUGGGAGAUGUGGUUAACAUGUUAAUGAUCUAUUCUUUGUUACUAAAAGAAUAAAAUCAUGUUUACGCAUUCGUAAUCUGUGUGCACAGCUGGAAGAUAAUACGUGCACAGGAAAUACAAAUCCUAACCCAUAAGCACAAACCCAUAUGCACAGAUCAUAAACUGUACAACUUGGUAGCUGUGUGGGAUGAUACUCAUUAAGGAUGCAAUCAGAUGAAUGUGAAGGUCAUCUUCAAAGUGCAUUUAAAGGGAUAUUACAGCGUAAAAUUAAGUUAUGGUCAAACACACCAUAACACAGAGUUAGACACCCCCUUGAGAGAUGGAUGUUGCUGACUGUUUGCUUCUUAGUGAUACCAACUUUAGCAACAACCGCACGAUAGCAAUAUAGAGCAGUCUAUGUCUACACGUCAGAGCUCCCCCUCACGAGUAAUAAACUACAGCUUUUCUAGUUUUACUGGACACAAGAAUACUCAAACAUUUUGCUCGUAGUUCUGCACUUAUAUGUUGUAUUCUUUUUCCUUUUUAUGCAAGAAAAUGGUUAAACUAUGAGGUACAAACCCCAUGAAUGAAUUUUGAGUAGCUGUGUUGUACAAAGUUUAAUUAUUCGUACUCCUACUGUAUUUAAGUAUGACUGUUUGAGUAUAAGUCCUUCUCUGUUCAUGGACACACUCAUGUUAUCAUAUCUAAAACAACUCCCGUUAAAAGUUGCUCAAGGACAAAUUCUAGUGUUAAAACUUUCACUACUUCACUUUAGGUCCCCUCUGAUGGGCUUCUUGACAUCUGGAUGAAAUGAAAUUGGUUGUAUGUCAGCUCCAACAGCUCAUCGACAUGGAGAGCCUUCUCACAGUCAAUCUCAGUAUCUCUUGCACCAUGCCUCUUCAGAGCUUUUUAACUUUCACAGCGACCUCCGCCAGAGAAAUGGGGAACCAAUUCCCCGCCAUCCUCCAUCAUGAUAGGCUGUCUGCUCGACUCACAACUUUCUCAAAAUGGUCCAGUUCCCCUGACUCUCAGAGCUAGACUACAUCUCAAGGGCUCAGACCUCUUUUUUUUAUUUAUUUGGGGGAGAUUUAAGUUUGAAAAAACCUCCACUUGAGAAUCAAUCGUGGAAAAAAAGAAGUGCAGCCGUACAGAAUCAAUAAGCAUUAAAUGAUGAGGAAAUGGCACGGCUAGAUCCAUGCAGCUGCUGGUUUUCUGUUUUUAUCGGCAUGCUUUGAAUCUGGAUGACACAUUCCUGGCAUUUCAUUUUUCAUUUCAUGGCACAUUCACAAAUGUGUGGUCUUCUUAGAAAAUAAAAACCUUUUUGAACUCUACCACUCUAAGCGAAUGGUUUGAAAACGUAAUGGUUUUUUCACGGAUGUUUACAUUGGAGAGAUACUCGCCACUCAAGAGGCGCAUUGAGUCUUUCAUGAUGGACCCUGAACAAAUAAAAUGUGCUUUAAAAAACUACAAACACAACAAAAGAGGUCUUGAGAUCAAUUGCACAUUUAUUAUAAGAAAAAAGAAAAAAUACGUGUUUACCUCUAUGUCCACAAACACUGAUUACAUGGAUGCUCUUCUUUAUGCUGGUUUUUAUACAGAAGAAUUAUAAAGGCUUGACAUUUUCAUAUUAUCACCAGUUGUGUAAAGAGAACCCAUAAGACAGGCAGGUACACACUCUGCUGAUUGUGAAAUUGAACAGAACAAAAGCCAAUCAGGACCCAAGCUAACUGAUGAAGAUAGUGGAGCCAUGACAACAGCAGUGUAAGCAUGUCGCUUCAACGUAGAAAUGAAAGACAAACUUUUUUAUUUUGGGGUAACAUCAUGAGUCUUGUAAAAUUGAAUGACCAAAGCAGAGAGAUAGAAAUGAAUUGAGACUGCAAUGGAUACGCCAGGAAGCGAAAGGACUCGUAACCAUAGUGUCAUCCACCAUCUUUUUUUGCUCUACAGCAAGAUUUCAAGUUUCAUAAGUGUGGCCUCUGGUUGCUGGUCAAAGUAAUCUCUUCGUGUGGGGUGUCCUGUUAGCACAAAAUCUUUCAUGAUUUUAUGCAAGCACAGCACAAAAACAAACAAACCAUGAUGUGUAAUGCCGGCCCGAGGAUUGCCAUCCCUCAACGGUGGACUACCCACAAAUGUGGACCCUCUAACGCCAAAAUUCCCUCAAAUUCCCGUCCUGUCUGUCUCUGAUCCAGUUUGGCUCAGCGCUCUCCUCACCUCGUCUGUCAACACUCACCGGCUGAAUUUUGAAAGCACAGCACAGAGCAACACCAGACAGCUGGAGUCACGAGACCAAGGGUUUCCUACAUUGAAUACAGAAUCAAUGGUUGACUCCAGGCCUGGCUCCGCUCACCACGGAGGUUUGUUGAAGGAAACACAAUCUGGCUUGAAGGUGGAGUGUUUUACUUUGAAAAUGGACUAGAUGUUUUCAUGUUGUUUCUGUGUCUGACAUCUUGUCUUCCUCAACCUGCCCUGUGCUGAAAGUUGCAUUGUACUUUGGCAACGGAGCCGGUGGAAGCACAAAUAUCAACCAAGGUGAAACAUACCCACAGCCAAGGCGAAGACCGAACACAGAUCUCGUUGAAGUUUGGGGUAAUGAGUUGAAACCAUUGGUGGACAGUGAUGAAGUAAACUUACUCAAGUAUCUCCAGUUUAUGGGGGAAACAUUAUUUAGUCCAGAACAUUUAAAACACAAAUAUCGAACUUUCCCUCUAGUAACAGUCUCUGAAUGUUCUGCCCGAUUAAAUCCCAAAGACGAUAAACUUUGUGUAGUUCUGCUGAAUAGUUUUAUUUUACCUAGAGCAAACAGAGUAAAUUAGAGUGACCAUACGUCCUCUUUUACCCGUGCAUGUCCUCUUUUUUUUUUCUCUGUCCGGUCUGUCUGGGGGAGUUCAUA